This 253-nucleotide ribosomal RNA is filed under the name uncultured bacterium. Its description in RNAcentral is "partial 16S ribosomal RNA". It matches the Rfam family "Bacterial small subunit ribosomal RNA", at positions 524 to 776 of the family's 1533-position model. The record is from RNAcentral.
UACGUAGGGUGCAAGCGUUGUCCGGAAUUAUUGGGCGUAAAGAGCUCGUAGGCGGUUUGUCGCGUCGAAUGUGAAAACCCGGGGCUCAACCCCGGGCCUGCAUUCGAUACGGGCAGACUAGAGUUCGGUAGGGGAGUCUGGAAUUCCUGGUGUAGCGGUGAAAUGCGCAGAUAUCAGGAGGAACACCAGCGGCGAAGGCGGCGUCCUGGACUGGUACUGACGCUCAGGAGCGAAAGCGUGGGGAGCGAUCCGG